UGGGGAAUCUUGCACAAUGGGGGAAACCCUGAUGCAGCGACGCCGCGUGAGUGAUGAAGCCCUUCGGGGUGUAAAGCUCUUUCGACAGGGACGAUAAUGACGGUACCUGGAGAAGAAGCUGCGGCUAACUACGUGCCAGCAGCCGCGGUAAUACGUAGGCAGCAAACGUUGUUCGGAGUUACUGGGCGUAAAGAGUGCGUAGGCGGUUCGCCAAGUUUGGUGUGAAAUCUCCCGGCUUAACUGGGAGGGUGCGCCGAAAACUGGCGAGCUUGAGUGUGGGAGAGGGAAGCGGAAUUCCUGGUGUAGCGGUGAAAUGCGUAGAUAUCAGGAGGAACACCGGUGGUGUAGACGGCUUCCUGGACCACAACUGACGCUGAGGCACGAAAGCGUGGGUAGCAAACAGG
Molecule: ribosomal RNA, 404 nt
Filed under: uncultured Candidatus Solibacter sp.
Lineage: Bacteria; Pseudomonadati; Acidobacteriota; Terriglobia; Bryobacterales; Solibacteraceae
Description: bacterial SSU rRNA
Rfam family: Bacterial small subunit ribosomal RNA
Source: RNAcentral